UGCAUUCCUAAAAUCCCAAAACCCAGAAACCCUUCACACCCGUCCCCCCCCCCAACCUUUCUCCACCACCCACCCUCUCUUUCUCCUCUUGCUUUCUCCCCUCUCUUUUCUCUUUCUUUGGGCAACAUGCAUCCCCAAAAUCCCAAAACCCAUUACAAAUCUCAAAACCCAAAAUCUCAUUAACCUCCCAAAUCUGGAGAAGGCGGUCAUGUUCGACUUCGACCUCACCCUUCCUAUCCAGAUGGUGCAGGGAUUAAAGAGAGAUGAACUGUCUCUGAUUUGGGGCUAGGGAUUAGAGAGAGAGGAGUUUCUCUGAUUUGGGGCUAGGGAUUAGAGAGAGGAGUUUUUCUUAUUUGGGGGUGGGCUUGGGUAGGGAGAAGGGGGUGGGGAGAAUGGGUGUGUCUGAUUUAGGAAAGGGCUCCGGUGGGGAAGACGAACUUUUUUUUUUGUACAUAAAGAGGAGCUGCAGGUGAAGCCAUCAUCGACCUCCUUGGGAUCGAAGAGGGUGGGUGGUGGAGGAACGUUGGGGGGUGGGGGAUGGGUGGGAAGGGUUUCUGGGUUUUGGGAUGUGGGCUUGGGUGGGUAAGACGAACUGUUUUUUUUUUUUUUUGUACAUGAACAGGGACCAGCUCGAGGAGUUGCGAGUGAAGGCACCUCCUUGGGAUCGAAGAGGGUGGAUGGUGGAGGAAGGUUGAAGGGGUGGUCAGGGACGUGUGGGAAGGGUUUCUGGGUUUUGGGAUUUUAGGGAUGCAGUUUGCAGGGAGAGAGAAGAGAGAGAGAGAAAGAGAGAGAGAGAGAGAGAGAGAAAGUGUGGGUGGUGG
This 821-nucleotide long non-coding RNA is filed under the name Malus domestica (apple). RNAcentral's name for it is "long non-coding RNA (MDOM_LNC000818)". Lineage: Eukaryota; Viridiplantae; Streptophyta; Magnoliopsida; Rosales; Rosaceae. The record is from RNAcentral.